CAGCCGCCACGGUAAUACGUAGGUGGCAAGCGUUGUCCGGAAUUAUUGGGCGUAAAGGGCUCGCAGGCGGCCUCUUAAGUCUGAUGUGAAAGCCCCCGGCUCAACCGGGGAGGGUCAUUGGAAACUGGGAAACUUGAGUGCAGAAGAGGAGAGUGGAAUUCCACGUGUAGCGGUGAAAUGCGUAGAGAUGUGGAGGAACACCAGUGGCGAAGGCGACUCUCUGGUCUGUAACUGACGCUGAGGAGCGAAAGCGUGGGGAGCGAACAGGAUUAGAUACCCGCGUAGUCCCUGUCUCUUAUAC
Molecule: ribosomal RNA, 301 nt
Filed under: uncultured bacterium
Lineage: Bacteria
Description: partial 16S ribosomal RNA
Rfam family: Bacterial small subunit ribosomal RNA
Source: RNAcentral